RNAcentral lists this ribosomal RNA (374 nucleotides) under Orius laevigatus. Its description in RNAcentral is "partial small subunit ribosomal RNA". Lineage: Eukaryota; Metazoa; Arthropoda; Insecta; Hemiptera; Anthocoridae. The record is from RNAcentral.
CUAGGGAAUAGAUACCCUAUUAUUUUAACUUUAAAAAUAUAGAUUUUAAUAUUAAUAGUUAUGUUCUUUAAAUUAAAAGAAUUUGGCGGUAAUUUAAUCUUUCCAGAGGAAUUUGUCAAGUAAUCGAUAAUCCACGUUUAAUUUUACUUUAAUUAAAAAUUUGUAUACCUCUGUUAUUGAAUGUUCUUUAAAGAUAUUUUCUAUAAAUUUUAUGAAUAAAAUAUCAGGUCAAGGUGCAGUUAUAUUAAAGUUUGGAUGAAUUACAUUUUUAUUAAAAUUGGAUUUUAAUAUGAAAUAUAUUUUAUUAAAUUGGAUUUGGAAGUAAUUUAAUUUAUUUAAAUUUUUUGAUUUGUGUUCUAAAUUAUGUACAUAUC